GUCUAAGGCCAUGCCACCCUGAACAAGCCCAAUGUCUGAUCUCAGAAGCUAAGCAGGGUCGGGCCUGGUUAGUACUUGGAUGGGAGACCACUGAGAAAGACCAGGUGCUGUAGGCA
RNAcentral lists this ribosomal RNA (116 nucleotides) under Pteropus alecto (black flying fox). The record is from RNAcentral. Lineage: Eukaryota; Metazoa; Chordata; Mammalia; Chiroptera; Pteropodidae.